RNAcentral lists this ribosomal RNA (465 nucleotides) under Vreelandella stevensii. Its description in RNAcentral is "partial 16S ribosomal RNA". It matches the Rfam family "Bacterial small subunit ribosomal RNA", at positions 338 to 795 of the family's 1533-position model. The record is from RNAcentral. Lineage: Bacteria; Pseudomonadati; Pseudomonadota; Gammaproteobacteria; Oceanospirillales; Halomonadaceae.
CCUACGGGCGGCUGCAGUGGGGAAUAUUGGACAAUGGGCGAAAGCCUGAUCCAGCCAUGCCGCGUGUGUGAAGAAGGCCUUCGGGUUGUAAAGCACUUUCAGUGGGGAAGAAAGCCUUGGGGCUAAUACCCUCGAGGAAGGACAUCACCCACAGAAGAAGCACCGGCUAACUCCGUGCCAGCAGCCGCGGUAAUACGGAGGGUGCGAGCGUUAAUCGGAAUUACUGGGCGUAAAGCGCGCGUAGGCGGUCUGAUAAGCCGGUUGUGAAAGCCCCGGGCUCAACCUGGGAACGGCAUCCGGAACUGUCAGGCUAGAGUGCAGGAGAGGAAGGUAGAAUUCCCGGUGUAGCGGUGAAAUGCGUAGAGAUCGGGAGGAAUACCAGAGGCGAAGGCGGCCUUCUGGACUGACACUGACGCUGAGGUGCGAAAGCGUGGGUAGCAAACAGGAUUAGAUACCCCAGUAGUC